Molecule: ribosomal RNA, 450 nt
Filed under: uncultured prokaryote
Description: bacterial SSU rRNA
Rfam family: Bacterial small subunit ribosomal RNA
Source: RNAcentral
UGGGGAAUCUUGCGCAAUGGGCGAAAGCCUGACGCAGCAACGCCGUGUGUGCGAUGAAGGCCCUCGGGUCGUAAAGCACUGUCAACAGGGAAGAUGGGUCUGCUCUUUAAUAGAGGGUGGGUUUGACGGUACCUGUGGAGGAAGCACCGGCUAACUCUGUGCCAGCAGCCGCGGUAAGACAGAGGGUGCAAGCGUUGUUCGGAAUUAUUGGGCGUAAAGCGCGCGUAGGCGGCGAGUUAAGUCGGAUGUGAAAGCCCGGGGCUCAACCUCGGAAGUGCAUCCGAAACUGGCUUGCUUGAAUCUUGGAGGGGGCAGUGGAAUUCCCGGUGUAGAGGUGAAAUUCGUAGAUAUCGGGAGGAACACCAGUGGCGAAGGCGACUGCCUGGACAAUGAUUGACGCUGAGGUGCGAAAGCGUGGGUAGCAAACAGGAUUAGAUACCCCCGUAGUCC